UCCCGGUCUUGCAGGGAGAACGGGAGGAGGCUGACGGGAGCACCUCAGCACCGUGCUCUAAAAAAAUACAAAGUCGAUAUUAUGGAUCCUAACUGUAAAUCCAGCCUGGAUAAGAAUCAUCAGUGGAUAAGCUUGAAGGAAACCAAAGAGCCCAAGAGUAAAGUGGCAAUCUGACAUGGAAUUAUUUACCUUUCAUCGAUGACCCGAAAUACAGUGUU
Suricata suricatta (meerkat) is the source of this 218-nucleotide long non-coding RNA. RefSeq lists it as uncharacterized. Lineage: Eukaryota; Metazoa; Chordata; Mammalia; Carnivora; Herpestidae. The transcript has 3 exons. The record is from RefSeq and is a predicted model, not a curated record.